This 494-nucleotide ribosomal RNA is filed under the name uncultured bacterium. RNAcentral's name for it is "partial 16S ribosomal RNA". It matches the Rfam family "Bacterial small subunit ribosomal RNA", at positions 28 to 507 of the family's 1533-position model. The record is from RNAcentral.
GACGAACGCUGGCGGCGCGCUUAACACAUGCAAGUCGAACGGAAAGGCCUGCUUUCCCUUGUGGAUUGCGGGUACUCGAGUGGCGAACGGGUGAGUAACACGUGAGUGAUCUGCCCCCAACUUGGGUAUAAGCCUGGGAAACUGGGUCUAAUUCCCGAUAGGACUGCAGGGUGGUGCCUGUGGUGGAAAACGAUUUUCUAGUGGUUGGGGAUGAGCUCGCGGCCUAUCAGCUUGUUGGUGGGGUAAUGGCCUACCAAGGCGGCGACGGGUAGCCGGCCUGGGAGGGUGGGCGGGCACAUUGGGACUGAGAUACGGCCCAGACUACUACGGGAGGCAGCAGUGGGGAAUAUUGCACAAUGGGCGGAAGCCUGAUGCAGCGACGCCGCGUGGGCGAUGACGGCCUUCGGGUUGUAAACUCCUUUCGACCGCGAGGAAGCCACCUGGUUGGAAGGGUGGUGACGGUAGUGGUAGAAGAAGCACCGGCUAACUACGUG